UACGAAGGAUGCAAGCGUUAUCCGGAUUUAUUGGGUUUAAAGGGAGCGUAGGCGGUCUUAUAAGUCAGUGGUGAAAUCUCGUUGCUUAACAACGACCGUGCCAUUGAUACUGUAGGACUUGAGUACAGUUGCCGUUGGCGGAAUGUGUCAUGUAGCGGUGAAAUGCAUAGAUAUGACACAGAACACCGAUUGCGAAGGCAGCUGACGAAACUGUAACUGACGCUGAGGCACGAAAGCGUGGGGAGCAAACAGG
RNAcentral lists this ribosomal RNA (253 nucleotides) under uncultured bacterium. Its description in RNAcentral is "partial 16S ribosomal RNA". It matches the Rfam family "Bacterial small subunit ribosomal RNA", at positions 524 to 776 of the family's 1533-position model. The record is from RNAcentral.